This 212-nucleotide unclassified non-coding RNA is filed under the name uncultured fungus. RNAcentral's name for it is "sequence contains ITS2". Lineage: Eukaryota; Fungi. The record is from RNAcentral.
AACGCACAUUGCGCCUCCCGUUAAUGGGAGGCAUGCCUGUCUGAGCGUCAUUUAAAACCAUGACCCUUUGGGUCGUAUUGGGACUCGCCUCGCGGCGUCUCCUCAAAGUCAUCGUGUCUAAAAGCGGACGAGAUCCAUUAGGACAGAACGUUUGAGGACCCUAAACUCUCUGACUUGACCUCAGAUCAGGUAGGACUACCGCCUGAACUUAA